UGAAGAGUUUGAUCAUGGCUCAGAUUGAACGCUGGCGGCAGGCCUAACACAUGCAAGUCGAACGGUAACAGGAAGCAGCUUGCUGCUUCGCUGACGAGUGGCGGACGGGUGAGUAAUGUCUGGGAAACUGCCUGAUGGAGGGGGAUAACUACUGGAAACGGUGGCUAAUACCGCAUAACGUCGCAAGACCAAAGAGGGGGACCUUCGGGCCUCUUGCCAUCAGAUGUGCCCAGAUGGGAUUAGCUUGUUGGUGAGGUAACGGCUCACCAAGGCGACGAUCCCUAGCUGGUCUGAGAGGAUGACCAGCCACACUGGAACUGAGACACGGUCCAGACUCCUACGGGAGGCAGCAGUGGGGAAUAUUGCACAAUGGGCGCAAGCCUGAUGCAGCCAUGCCGCGUGUAUGAAGAAGGCCUUCGGGUUGUAAAGUACUUUCAGCGGGGAGGAAGGUGUUGUGGUUAAUAACCGCAGCAAUUGACGUUACCCGCAGAAGAAGCACCGGCUAACUCCGUGCCAGCAGCCGCGGUAAUACGGAGGGUGCAAGCGUUAAUCGGAAUUACUGGGCGUAAAGCGCACGCAGGCGGUCUGUCAAGUCGGAUGUGAAAUCCCCGGGCUCAACCUGGGAACUGCAUUCGAAACUGGCAGGCUUGAGUCUUGUAGAGGGGGGUAGAAUUCCAGGUGUAGCGGUGAAAUGCGUAGAGAUCUGGAGGAAUACCGGUGGCGAAGGCGGCCCCCUGGACAAAGACUGACGCUCAGGUGCGAAAGCGUGGGGAGCAAACAGGAUUAGAUACCCUGGUAGUCCACGCCGUAAACGAUGUCUACUUGGAGGUUGUGCCCUUGAGGCGUGGCUUCCGGAGCUAACGCGUUAAGUAGACCGCCUGGGGAGUACGGCCGCAAGGUUAAAACUCAAAUGAAUUGACGGGGGCCCGCACAAGCGGUGGAGCAUGUGGUUUAAUUCGAUGCAACGCGAAGAACCUUACCUGGUCUUGACAUCCACAGAACUUUCCAGAGAUGGAUUGGUGCCUUCGGGAACUGUGAGACAGGUGCUGCAUGGCUGUCGUCAGCUCGUGUUGUGAAAUGUUGGGUUAAGUCCCGCAACGAGCGCAAC
This 1108-nucleotide ribosomal RNA is filed under the name Salmonella enterica. Its description in RNAcentral is "bacterial SSU rRNA". It matches the Rfam family "Bacterial small subunit ribosomal RNA", at positions 1 to 1102 of the family's 1533-position model. Lineage: Bacteria; Pseudomonadati; Pseudomonadota; Gammaproteobacteria; Enterobacterales; Enterobacteriaceae. RNAcentral also lists the same sequence under 1 other name. The record is from RNAcentral.